Molecule: long non-coding RNA, 401 nt
Filed under: Homo sapiens (human)
Lineage: Eukaryota; Metazoa; Chordata; Mammalia; Primates; Hominidae
Description: HSALNT0330906
Source: RNAcentral
GCAGAAGACAGCAUACGAGAUAGUAACAUUAAAAUAUUACUCUACUUCCCUCUAAUCAUUCCAUGAAUAUUUUUCAGAGUUGACAUCCUGUGAAAAACAUGGUUUUAUAAUCUCUCCCUUAAAAUUAUUUUAAAAACUUUUCUAUAAUAUAAUCUGUAAAAAUUUUAUUUCUUCACAUAGAUUUUAUUAUAGUUUCUCAAGCCAUUAUUCAAUUAUUAGAUAUUUAAAUAGCUUCUCAAUUUUUAUUAUAUACAUUUCAAUGAAUUUUUUUACCUAAAACCCUGUAAUGAACAUUUCCAGCAAAGUAAUCAAAUUAAUAGAUAUUUUUCAAAUACCCCCACCAACCCUUACCAAGAAGCUGUUUUAAAACUGGCUACAGUUUAACAUAAUUACAUAUUUUU